Crotalus tigris (Tiger rattlesnake) is the source of this 3754-nucleotide long non-coding RNA. RefSeq lists it as uncharacterized. The transcript is spliced from 3 exons. The record is from RefSeq and is a predicted model, not a curated record. NCBI's taxonomy places the organism in Eukaryota, Metazoa, Chordata, Lepidosauria, Squamata, Viperidae.
ACCACUUCUGAAAUCUCACCAAGAACAUUGCAGGGACUUGUCCAGGCAGUUGCCAGGAGUCAACACUGACUGGAAGGCACAAUAAUAUAUGCAUUGAGCAUAUAGAGAAGAUGAUCCAGGCCACUAGUUGUGCUCACUAGUGUUUCUUUGAAGGAAAUGAGCAAAACCCGCAAUCGGAGACUUUCUCUGUACUGUACUUGUAUUCAUUUAAAUGUGGAUGGAAGCCAAAGAAGAGCAGAAAAGGUACGAACAGAUUUCAAGUCUCCUGAUUUAUAUGGCCACAAACCUAUGUGAUAAAUUCUAAGUGCCUUCCGAAAAUGCCUGUCUACAGAUUGGGAAGUCAAAAACAUCCUGGGAGAAGAAAACAUCCUGGCAAAUCAUUUCCACACUGAGGCCAAGAAUAUGUCAUUGACGUUAUUGGGAGUUGCAUUCAGCUUGAAGGAAACUUACGUGAGUUAAAGUCUCUAGCAUGUUACAUUUUACUAUAAAGACGCCUUCAUCUCUGCACAGUGGAGCCUUCUGCCAGUUCCAGACAUCAGCAUUACAUCAUACUGGAUUUGCUGAAAGAUUGGGCAGAUACGUGCUGUGAAAAUUCGUAUAACUACACAAUAUUUAGUGUGCCAUUUGUUUAGUUAGACUAUUCUUUUGUUUGCCUCCUCCAUUGCUCAAGAAAGAUAUUAAAGUGCCAGAGAGAGAAAGAAGAUAAGGCUACACAGAUUUCCUGGCUGGGGCGUAAGACGACUGGAAAAGGAGUUUUUGUUCAGCUGUGCGUGUUAGCAUCUCCUUUUCCACCAUUUCCUGAAAACAAGGCCAGGGGAAAGAAAAAAAAUCACACAGACACACACCAUUUUUCCAUUUGCAGAGUGAACAGGGGGAAGUAAUAGGCUUGUGGGAGGGAGGGGGAGGCAUCAGAUAUCUGCUUAGUCUUCAGAGAAAGGGAAAAUGCUUGGGCGCCUGAUCUACCAUAAAUUGCAUCUGGUGGUUGGAGCUAGAGCAAGUUAUUAAAGUGACUGCAUUAAAGUCAUAAUUCAGCAGGUCAGCAGUGAGCCGAUUCUGCAGUCUCUCCUCCAUCAUCCCUCCCAAACACAUUUUCUGAGAGAGCUAAACUCCAGUGGCCUGAAUCAGCUCUUACAGCAGUGCUUAAUGACUUUUCUCCCCCUUAAGGGAACUGAAAGCGGGAGGGGAGGGGAGCAAGCCGGUCUGCAGAUGGCAUCAUUUACACUCAUAAAAGGAUGGUGCUGUCUGUGUAAGAUGAGCUGGGAGGAGAAGGAAUUCCCCUCUCCAUAUUUCGUCCCCAACGUGGCCAGAAGAAGAAAAUGCAUUCAAGGCCCCCUAUUUCAAAAUAAAUUCAAUUUGUCUUGACUAAGGAUGAGAAAGAAGACACAAUGUGUUGCUGAGUGGCUGCUGAGGUGGCGGGGAGAAAUAACAGCAGUUAUUGUUAUUUGGAUUAUCAGAAUCUGUUUGAUGACAGAUUUUUACUGCAGAGCUUUGUAUAGAUGCCUGAUGCUAUGGCUUAAAAAAAAACUUGGCUGAAACUGUCAAAAUUUACAGGGAAUCCAGGCAGAUAUAUUCAAUUUCAGCCAAAUUACUUAUGUAAUCUGGGGGUACGAAGGCUCGGCCAAUUGGAAAGCUGACAGUCCAGAUUCAAGACCAGAACACAGUGCAAUGGGGUGAGUUCCUGUUACCUGCCCCAGCUCCUGCCCACCUAGCAUUUCGAAAGAAGGCAAAUGCAUGUAGAUUAAUAGGUACCACUUUGGUGAGAAGGUAACAGCGUUCUAUGCAUAUUGGCGCAUAGCUAUGCUGGUCACAUGACCACAGAAAAUAUCUUCAGACAAUGCUGGCUCCCUCAGCCAAGAAAUGGACAUGGGCACCGUGCCCUAGAGUUUGACAGAAUUGGACAGGGAAACCUUUACCUUUUUACUGGUACAACCAGCAAUGUACUGAGAUUUUCUUCUGAUACUGAAUCCACUACCUGUACAAUCAGCAGGACUCAGAUCUGUUUAAAAGAGUUAUUGUGGAUCUAAUCUAUAUUAGAAAACCGAGGAUACUUUCAGGAUGAAGAUUUUUUUCAAAUGAGGAUGCCCCAACAAGCAAGCUGCUUCAGAAUAUACCAGAUCUGCACACAAACAAUGUAAAGCUGCCUUAUGUAAAGUCAAACCAUGACUCCAUCUUGUUCCAUUUGGGCAUUACCGUGACUUGUAGCAGCUCCAGAGCUUUCGAUAGAAGAUUCUUAGAAGAAUCCUCUAUCUAAGAUUCUUUCAAAUAAGAUAAAGAAUUGAACAUGAGAGUUUUGUGUGCAGUUCUAGGAUCAAGGUAAUGACUUAUCUUGUUAUAAUUCCUUUCCAUCUACAUUAAUUCCUACAUUAAUCCCAGGUACCUCAGUAUUCUACAGUUCUGUGAGACUUGGGGAAACUGAGCUGAUUAAACCUGAGAAGAUAGUUUUUCAGCAUUUCCUAUGACCUGGAAAGAUGAGGGAAUUGUCUCUAUGACAGAGACACCUAAUUCAUCCCAUUUCUUGGACUUACACCCUCCUCUCUUCUAAUCAAAGUGUCAUGAUCUCCCAUCCUCCUCAGUUACUCAGGGAAGUGACAACUUUGUCAUUCUCUGAACACAAAGGUUAACUGAGCUUCCUCCACCCAUCCACAUUCAACCUGUUCUACUCUACUGAGGAAAAAAACAAGAAGCAAAAAAAAAAAAAAACCCCACCCCAGCAAGCACAGGAUGAAGGAAGGGCAGGGCACUAACUAGCUGCCAUUUUUGACAUUGUCCCUUUGGCCCAUUAAAGAGAUGACUAGAUGAUUCCCUGGGGGAAGAUGGCAUGCAGCAAUAAGGACAUUCACAGGUGGCACAAAACUACUGCAGAAGGCCAGAGAAGUCUGAGCUAGUAACUAUAGAAGUCUCUUGAGCCCUACAGACCUUCUGUCGAUUUCCCACUGCAAGCUGAGUGCUGCAAGAGAAGUGCUGGUUGCAUAGUCCAAACAAGGGAUUAUCGUUCACACAAAACUCCCUGCAAUAGUAUUUUCCCCCCAGGCAUAUCUUCCUUUUUAAAUUGCUUCUGCAAAGCUGUUUGCUAGAGAACUAUAAAUGCCGCAUUAUGGUACUCUGCUAUCUGGAAACAACCUGAGUUACAAAAUGUUCAGUAAAAUUUCCAGAAAGGAGUGUGAGCUGGCCAUAAAUAACAGACACAACAACAAAAUCUGAGUCCUGCCUGUACAAUCAACAGGAAUCAGAUCUGUCUGUCCCGGGAUUUUGGUUUGCUAAUGGAAUCAAAGGUCUACCCAUGUUGCUUACAAAAAAUAACUCUUUGCAUUGUCAGUUUAUGAUCCAAUCUGACAAGAAAAACAAGAAAGGGUAAAGAAUGCAGGAGAAAAAUAUAGAGCAAGAAUAAUGACAAAAAAGGCAAUUAUGUGCAGCUACUUAGAAUACUUGUCUAAGGGUUUAUGAUCAGAAUUAAUUCCAGACUUACUCUGGGUAUGUUUGCAACUAAGAUCCAGUAUCCAUGCUAGUCCAUGGAUAAGUAAUUCUUAAUACAGUCUUCCAAGUUUCCCCUCCCUCCCCCAAAUUAUUCAGGGUUAUAUUCCAUACGUAAUAUUGUAGGUCACUUCAAAUAUGUGCAUUACCAGUUAAAAAUAGAAUAAAAGGUUUAAUCAGUAUAAACGUUGUGCAAUGUGGGGUUUUUAGAGAUAACAUAAAUGGCAUUUUCUUCUGGUCCACUCAAAUUUAAAGAUAUGUAAUACAAAUACUGCCCCCCCCC